Molecule: ribosomal RNA, 454 nt
Filed under: uncultured Prevotella sp.
Lineage: Bacteria; Pseudomonadati; Bacteroidota; Bacteroidia; Bacteroidales; Prevotellaceae
Description: bacterial SSU rRNA
Rfam family: Bacterial small subunit ribosomal RNA
Source: RNAcentral
ACGGGAGGCAGCAGUGAGGAAUAUUGGUCAAUGGACGAGAGUCUGAACCAGCCAAGUAGCGUGCAGGAUAACGGCCCUCCGGGUUGUAAACUGCUUUUAGUUGGGAAUAAAAAAGGCGACGUGUCGCCUAUUGUAUGUACCAUCAGAAUAAGGACCGGCUAAUUCCGUGCCAGCAGCCGCGGUAAUACGGAAGGUCCGGGCGUUAUCCGGAUUCAUUGGGUUUAAAGGGAGCGUAGGCCGUGCUUUAAGCGUGUUGUGAAAUGUAGGCGCCCAACGUCUGCACUGCAGCGCGAACUGGAGCACUUGAGUACGCAGGAAGUAGGCGGAAUUCGUCGUGUAGCGGUGAAAUGCUUAGAUAUGACGAAGAACUCCGAUUGGGAAGCCAGCUUACUGUAGCGCCACUGACGCUGAUGCUCGAAAGCGUGGGUAUCGAACAGGAUUAGAUACCCUGGUA